CAGCUUGCUGCUUUGCUGACGAGUGGCGGACGGGUGAGUAAUGUCUGGGAAACUGCCUGAUGGAGGGGGAUAACUACUGGAAACGGUAGCUAAUACCGCAUAACGUCGCAAGACCAAAGAGGGGGACCUUAGGGCCUCUUGCCAUCGGAUGUGCCCAGAUGGGAUUAGCUAGUAGGUGGGGUAACGGCUCACCUAGGCGACGAUCCCUAGCUGGUCUGAGAGGAUGACCAGCCACACUGGAACUGAGACACGGUCCAGACUCCUACGGGAGGCAGCAGUGGGGAAUAUUGCACAAUGGGCGCAAGCCUGAUGCAGCCAUGCCGCGUGUAUGAAGAAGGCCUUCGGGUUGUAAAGUACUUUCAGCGGGGAGGAAGGGAGUAAAGUUAAUACCUUUGCUCAUUGACGUUACCCGCAGAAGAAGCACCGGCUAACUCCGUGCCAGCAGCCGCGGUAAUACGGAGGGUGCAAGCGUUAAUCGGAAUUACUGGGCGUAAAGCGCACGCAGGCGGUUUGUUAAGUCAGAUGUGAAAUCCCCGGGCUCAACCUGGGAACUGCAUCUGAUACUGGCAAGCUUGAGUCUCGUAGAGGGGGGUAGAAUUCCAGGUGUAGCGGUGAAAUGCGUAGAGAUCUGGAGGAAUACCGGUGGCGAAGGCGGCCCCCU
This 661-nucleotide ribosomal RNA is filed under the name Enterobacteriaceae bacterium HGB0140. Its description in RNAcentral is "bacterial SSU rRNA". It matches the Rfam family "Bacterial small subunit ribosomal RNA", at positions 76 to 730 of the family's 1533-position model. The record is from RNAcentral. Lineage: Bacteria; Pseudomonadati; Pseudomonadota; Gammaproteobacteria; Enterobacterales; Enterobacteriaceae.